CAGUAGCCGCGGGAACACCAGCAGCCCAAGUGGUGGUCGCGUUUAUUGGGCCUAAAGCGCUCGUAGCCUGGCCGGUAAGUUCCCCGUGAAAUCGGGUCGCCCAACGAUUCGGCUUGCGGGGAAUACUGUCGGUCUUGGGGCCGGGAGACGCCGAGGGUACUCCGGGGGUAGCGGUGAAAUGCUGUAAUCCUCGGGGGACUACCAGUGGCGAAGGCGCUCGGCGAUAACGGGACUGACGGUGAGGGGCGAAAGCUGGGGGCGCGAACGGGAUUAGAUACCCCGGUAGUCCCUGUCUCUUAUA
Molecule: ribosomal RNA, 301 nt
Filed under: uncultured bacterium
Lineage: Bacteria
Description: partial 16S ribosomal RNA
Rfam family: Archaeal small subunit ribosomal RNA
Source: RNAcentral